UUUACUUUUUUUACAAAAAAUAAUAAGUUUAUAUUAAACUAUCAACCGGAAGCAUAAUGGCAAAACGCUUUUAUGUUAUUAUCACAAUAAAUAAAUUAAUUUGGCAAUUUGCUGAGGUAACGCUCUUGGUGUUGUCGCACAAAAGAGUCGCAGCUGAAAAGUUUCAGAUACGAUUGAGCUAACAAUUUAAACAUGCGACAUUGUUCAACGAAGUCAUAUAUAAAACUUUGGUGGAAUUAAAGUUUUCAUAAGAUUUAAAAUGAACAAAAUUAAUUACAAUAAUUUUUUACUCUAAAUGUAUUCAUAUCUUACAAUAUAAAUAUUUUAAUGUACAAAACGUUUUGAAGGAAAAUAAAUAA
Hydra vulgaris (swiftwater hydra) is the source of this 359-nucleotide non-coding RNA. The record is from RefSeq and is a predicted model, not a curated record. NCBI's taxonomy places the organism in Eukaryota, Metazoa, Cnidaria, Hydrozoa, Anthoathecata, Hydridae.